This 452-nucleotide long non-coding RNA is filed under the name Olea europaea (common olive). RNAcentral describes it as "long non-coding RNA (OEUR_LNC003957)". Lineage: Eukaryota; Viridiplantae; Streptophyta; Magnoliopsida; Lamiales; Oleaceae. The record is from RNAcentral.
UGCUUGUUUUGCAUUAAAAUCAAAAGUCCAAAUCAAAAUUUAUAUCUUAAACAUUUCCCAGGACCAAGUCACGUGAACAAAACUCGAUUUUAGUUCCAACAAGACAAACUUCGACCACGAAAAGUGUUUGAAAUCAAUUCGCAUGUAACAACAGUUUUAGGAGUUUUUACACUAAGAUCUUGAAGGCUUGAAUCUGAUAGUACUUCACACACAAAUGCACAAUGGUCUGCCCUUGACCCACGAUCACUCAAGCUGCAUCAGGUUUCGCACGAACCAAUUCUUUCAUGGCUUCAUUCUUGCCUUUUACUCAAUGUCUACAAAUUGUUACAAAUUAGGAAGAUCAAAUUACACGAUCCCUCGAGCUGCAUAAUUAACUAACUAUUAUUUGGCCAAACUAAUAAUAAGUAGCCUAUUUCAGUUUUCUUGGGUGCAUAAAUGAGGGCUGAGAAGCG